Molecule: ribosomal RNA, 253 nt
Filed under: uncultured bacterium
Lineage: Bacteria
Description: partial 16S ribosomal RNA
Rfam family: Bacterial small subunit ribosomal RNA
Source: RNAcentral
UACGGAGGGGGCGAGCGUUGUCCGCAGUUACUGGGCGUAAAGCGCGCGUAGGCGGGUUGGCAAGUCCGCUGUGAAAGCCCGAGGCUUAACCUCGGCGGGUCGGUGGAUACUGCCAGUCUUGAAGGUGCUAGGGGGAAAUGGAAUUACCGGUGUAGCGGUGAAAUGCGUAGAUAUCGGUAGGAACACCAGUGGCGAAGGCGGUUUCCUGGGGCAUUCUUGACGCUGAGGCGCGAAAGCUGGGGGAGCGAACGGG